This 432-nucleotide ribosomal RNA is filed under the name uncultured bacterium. RNAcentral describes it as "partial 16S ribosomal RNA". It matches the Rfam family "Bacterial small subunit ribosomal RNA", at positions 27 to 507 of the family's 1533-position model. The record is from RNAcentral.
GAACGAACGCUGGCGGCAGGCCUAACACAUGCAAGUCGAGCGCCCUUUCGGGGGAGCGGCGGACGGGUGAGUAACGCGUGGGAAUAUGCCCUUCUCUACGGAAUAGCCUCGGGAAACUGAGAGUAAUACCGUAUACGCCCUAUGGGGGAAAGAUUUAUCGGGGAAGGAUUAGCCCGCGUUGGAUUAGGUAGUUGGUGGGGUAAUGGCCUACCAAGCCGACGAUCCAUAGCUGGUUUGAGAGGAUGAUCAGGCACACUGGGACUGAGACACGGCCCAGACUCCUACGGGAGGCAGCAAGGGGGGAUCUUAGACAAUGGGGGGAAACCUGAACUAGCCAUGCCGCGUGAGUGAUGGAGGCCUUAAGGUUGUAAAGCUCUUUCAGCUGGGAAGAUAAUGACGGUACCAGCAGAAGAAGCCCCGGCUAACUCCGUG